This 26-nucleotide non-coding RNA is filed under the name Cricetulus griseus (Chinese hamster). Lineage: Eukaryota; Metazoa; Chordata; Mammalia; Rodentia; Cricetidae. The record is from RNAcentral.
UACAUACUACUCAGGAAAAAAAGAAC